This 1812-nucleotide long non-coding RNA is filed under the name Triticum aestivum (bread wheat). Its description in RNAcentral is "long non-coding RNA (TAES_LNC010871)". The record is from RNAcentral. Lineage: Eukaryota; Viridiplantae; Streptophyta; Magnoliopsida; Poales; Poaceae.
UCUAAGCGACGGUUAUCAUAACCUGCCAACUGGUGUCCGAGUUAUCUUAAAAACAACUCAGACUAUAUUGUAUUGCUGUUGGGACCCUAUUAUUUCUCUACUAGGCAUCCAAAUGAACUAUUUAGUUGAGUUGUGCCGCUCCUGUAUACACAGUUUUUGUAAGAGAGUUUCUACAGUUUGAGAAAACACAUGGUGCAAAUCAUCAUAUACAACUACAAUCACAGAACCACAAACUCCUACCUUCUACUCCUACCUUCGACUGUUAUGUAGCAAAUGAAUCGAAAACUGACAUAAAUGUAUCAAUUCGACAUAAAAAGAUGGGAAAAGACUGUAAAACUGGGAGAGGGAGAGUGAAGGGAACUGACUAUACACCACCUAAGCACCAUUUAUCCAGAAACGAUAGCACAACAUUUUGCCAUGUAGCUGAUACAUGAAUGCACUGCCUUGUUCUAAAAAAGAUAAAAAAUAGGCCCGAAUACAUGGAAUAAGUAACUCAAUUCAUGGAUAUGUUCUUGCUUGGUCAUUUUUCACCUAAUGUUCACCAGAAAGAGUUCGUGCACAAUAAACAGCUCGUUAGCUUUAUAGGAGGACAACUAACCUCGCACUACCAAAUACAACUGAAAAUGUUCAAAACCAUGGCAUUCAUGAUGUAAACAUGGAAGUAACAUAAAACUCCUAUUCUUAUAUAUGCUAAACUUUUGAAGAGAUGUAAAUUUUGGAUAAAACCACGAAGAAUUAAUUUUUUACACAAAAAUCAAGCUUCUUAGAACUCUAAGCAGCAGAGAUGCUGAAAAGUGUAGUUUGUCAAGCUGACAAAGGGAGAGACAUUGUGCUUGCAUUGAGAUGGAAUAUUGUCGAUGCCUGUAAUACAUUUUUAAUGUGGUAUAUAUGGAUUGGAACAAUGAUUUGAACAUACCAACAUACUGCAUAUAACAUAGAUAUAUGUACCAGCAUACUGCAUAUAAUAUAGAUAUACGUACAUAUAUGGCUCUGUCUAGAAACUGGAACAAAAUAACACCACGUCCAAUCAUGAACUUCUGAUGGUUCUGAUAUUGAUUCUGCACUAACUCCUCCUGCCAAAGAACCAAGUCAGUACAUAAAUAUCAGAAUAUUUCCAUGAGUGAUUCAUGUACCUUAACGGUAAAUAAAAAUCGUUGGAGCUAGAGGACAGGAGGCAGGGCCGCAGGGCUAAGGGGGUGUUGGACUUGCUGACAUCCUGUACGCCACUGGAUGGGUGGAGAAGGGGGGUUCAGCUGCAGGGCGUGCUGAUGCUGUACUGGCGCUCCUCCUUAGAGGUCGACCAGGAGGAGCACCGGUGUUUGUCAGCAUCGUCGUCGAGCAGGACAAGGCUCGCUGUGCCCGCCCUCGUCCCGGACCGGCAACUGCAGGGUGCGCUGUGUCUAUGGAACCUGCGGGAGGAGAUCCUCCGCGCCGACCUGCUCGAGGUGGACCGACAACUGCGGGCACCGUAGACGACGAAUAAGAGCUGCCAGAGCCCGCCAGAGAUGCGCCGACGAUGAAGGGUGUGCCGGAGUAGAGAACCCUAGCACGGGACUGGAUUUUCGGUGAGCGGUAGAAGCCGGGAGGGGGAAAUCUUGCGGAGGGGAGGAUGGACCUGAGCGAGGCGAGCUCAGUGGGGUGCUCCGCGCCGGCGAUAGCCGCUGCAAUCGCCAAAAUCGGACGCGGGCAGCUGUGGCGGCGGAGGGAACAGAGGAGAGAAAGAGGAUUAGGGUUAGAUGGGUGUGGAUUGUGGGCUUAAGUAGUCUGGGUCAAAAAAAUUGCCACCGGCCCGUGUGGGCGACUUAAAAUUUU